UGAAAUAAUGUGCAUUUGCUGUAAAUAUGGACGAACACCAAUGUUGUUGGGUAGUAAUGGGUAUUGCAGUAGUGCUGCAAUCCUCAAUAAGAACCAACAUACACAU
This is a non-coding RNA of Spinacia oleracea (spinach), 106 nucleotides long. NCBI's taxonomy places the organism in Eukaryota, Viridiplantae, Streptophyta, Magnoliopsida, Caryophyllales, Amaranthaceae. The record is from Rfam.